GGUAAAAUGGCUGAGUGUUCAGGCGGCGGGCUGUAGACUCGCAUACAGGGGUUUAACUCCUCUUUUUAUCA
RNAcentral lists this transfer RNA (71 nucleotides) under Phymaturus manuelae. RNAcentral describes it as "tRNA-Tyr". It matches the Rfam family "tRNA". From Rfam's summary of the family: Transfer RNA (tRNA) molecules are approximately 80 nucleotides in length. The record is from RNAcentral. Lineage: Eukaryota; Metazoa; Chordata; Lepidosauria; Squamata.